GACGAACGCUGGCGGCGUGCUUAACACAUGCAAGUCGAACGGAAAUUCCCUGCUUUUGGGGCGUGCUCGAGUGACGAACGGGUGAGUGACUCGCGAGUAACCAGCCCUCGACUUUGGGUUAGCUUACGGAAGCUAACGCUAAUAAAUGAUAGAUGCUCCUGCUGCAUGGUGGGGGUUGGAAAAUUUGGUCGGUUGGGGAUGAACUGGGGGCUUAUCAGCUUGUUGGUAGGUUAGUGGCUUGCCAAGGCUUUGACAGGUAGCCGGCCUGGGAGGGGGGCCGGCGCCAUGAGGACUGAGAUACGGCACAGAAGCGAAUGGGACGCAGCAGGGGAGAAUAUUGCAGAAUGGGCGGGAGCCAGAUGCGACAAAGCCGCGUGCGGGAAGACGUGCUGCGAGGUGUGAACGGCUGUCGCCUGUGACGAAGCGUGAGUGACGGUAAUGGGUAAAGAAGCACCGGCUAACUACGUG
RNAcentral lists this ribosomal RNA (468 nucleotides) under uncultured bacterium. Its description in RNAcentral is "partial 16S ribosomal RNA". It matches the Rfam family "Bacterial small subunit ribosomal RNA", at positions 28 to 507 of the family's 1533-position model. The record is from RNAcentral.